GCAGCAGGCGCGAAACCUUUACACUGCACGCCAGUGCGAUAAGGGGAUCCCAAGUGCGUAGGCAUAGAGCCUACGCUUUUGUCCACCCUAGGGUGGUGGACGAAUAAGGGCUGGGCAAGACCGGUGCCAGCCGUCGCGGUAAUACCGGCAGCCCGAGUGAUGGCUGAUCUUAUUGGGCCUAAAGCGUCCGUAGCUGGCCGCACAAGUCCAUCGGGAAAUCCACCUGCUCAACAGGUGGGCGUCCGGUGGAAACUGUGUGGCUUGGGACCGGAAGGCGCGACGGGUACGUCCGGGGUAGGAGUGAAAUCCCGUAAUCCUGGACGGACCGCCGAUGGCGAAAGCACGUCGCGAGAACGGAUCCGACAGUGAGGGACGAAAGCUAGGGUCUCGAACCGGAUUAGAUACCCGGGUAGUCCUAGCCGUAAACACUGCCUGCUAGGUGUGGCACCACUACGAGUGGGUGCUGUGCCGUAGGGAAGCCGCUAAGCAGGCCGCCUGGGAAGUACGUCCGCAAGGAUGAAACUUAAAGGAAUUGGCGGGGGAGCACUACAACCGGAGGAGCCUGCGGUUUAAUUGGAGUCAACGCCGG
This 589-nucleotide ribosomal RNA is filed under the name uncultured haloarchaeon. RNAcentral's name for it is "bacterial SSU rRNA". It matches the Rfam family "Archaeal small subunit ribosomal RNA", at positions 332 to 921 of the family's 1478-position model. The record is from RNAcentral. Lineage: Archaea; Methanobacteriati; Methanobacteriota; Halobacteria; Halobacteriales; Halobacteriaceae.